GUGAAGCUGGAUUCGCUAGUAAUCGCGCAUCAGCCAUGGCGCGGUGAAUACGUUCCCGGGCCUUGUACACACCGCCCGUCAAGCCAUGGGAGCCGGGGUGCUUGAAGUGCGUCGCCGCAAGGCGCGCCCUAGAGCAAAACCGGUGACUGGGGCUAAGUCGUAACAAGGUAAC
This 172-nucleotide ribosomal RNA is filed under the name uncultured bacterium. RNAcentral's name for it is "partial 16S ribosomal RNA". It matches the Rfam family "Bacterial small subunit ribosomal RNA", at positions 1320 to 1500 of the family's 1533-position model. The record is from RNAcentral.